This 253-nucleotide ribosomal RNA is filed under the name uncultured bacterium. RNAcentral's name for it is "partial 16S ribosomal RNA". It matches the Rfam family "Bacterial small subunit ribosomal RNA", at positions 524 to 777 of the family's 1533-position model. The record is from RNAcentral.
UACGGAGGGGCUAGCGUUGUUCGGAAUUACUGGGCGUAAAGCGCACGUAGGCGGAUUGGAAAGUUGGGGGUGAAAUCCCGGGGCUCAACCCCGGAACUGCCUUCAAAACUCCCAGUCUGGAGGUCGAGAGAGGUGAGUGGAAUUCCGGAGUGUAGAGGUGAAAUUCGUAGAUAUUCGGAGGAACACCAGUGGCGAAGGCGGGUCUCUGGGCCGUAACUGACGCUGAGGCGCGAAAGCGUGGGAGCAAACAGGG